Molecule: long non-coding RNA, 1006 nt
Filed under: Anas platyrhynchos platyrhynchos (common mallard)
Lineage: Eukaryota; Metazoa; Chordata; Aves; Anseriformes; Anatidae
Description: lncRNA (ENSAPLG00000019123.1)
Source: RNAcentral
GACGUUGGCCAUGCCAACGUUGGUCAACCCAACGCCGGCGUUGGCCACCGCGGUGACGCCGCCGCUGGCCGCGUCGUUGACGCCCCCCAUGGGGACGUUGACGUUGGGCACGGCGGCGCCGCCGCCGCCGCCGGCCGCGUUUUCGGCCGGCGCGAAGGCGAUUUGGCGCCGGAUGCCGUCGCGGCGCUCGUGGAAAUCGGCGAUUUCGGCCACGAUGGCCGCCUUGAUCUCUUCUUUGGUCAACACCCGGCGGUCAAAGGCGAAAUCGAAGGCGGGGACGCACUCGGGCUCGUCCUCGGGGUCGUGAUAUUUGGCCAAAAAAGGGUGCCGCAAGGCCUCGGCCACCCCCACCCUCUCCCGGGGGUCGAAACGCAGCAUCCUCCCCAACAACGCCAAGGCCGCCGGCUCGGCGUCGCCGAAAAGACUCUCCCACGGCACCGCCGGGCGCGGGGGCAAGCUCUGCACGUAGGCCCUCACCCUCUCGGCCCCGAUGGCGGCCAUGACGGUGGCCGGCGGCGUCCCCAGCACGGCCAUGAUGAGCUGGAGCUGGUGGACGUAGUUCCUCCCGGGGAAAAGUUGCCGGCGGCCCAACAUUUCGGCAAAGAUGCAGCCCACCGACCACAUAUCGAUGGCGCGGGUGUAACGGUGCAAGGAGAGGAGGAGUUCGGGCGCCCGGUACCAGCGGGUGGCGACGUAUUCGGUGAGGAAGGCCUUGGCGUGGCGGGGGUCGGCGCCCAAGCCGCGGGCCAUGCCGAAAUCGCCGAUUUUCAGCUCGCAGUUCUCGUUGACCAAGAGGUUGCUGGGCUUGAGGUCGCGGUGGAGGACGUUGGCCGAGUGGAUGUACUUGAGGCCCCGCAGGAGUUGGUAGAGGAAGUAGCGGACGUGCUCCAAGGUCAAGGGUUGGGAGGAGUGGAUGAUCUGGUGGAGGUCGCUCUCCAUCAGGUCCAGGACCACGUAGCUGCCGGGGGAGAAAGAAGGGGGGCCGGGGUGGCCCGGGGAGGGGGGU